AAAGAAGUUGGAAGCUUGGGGGAGUAGGAUUCAGAGUAGGUUUAGGGAUGACAUUAAGAGGUGUAAGCAGAAGCUUGAGUUUAAUAGAGAAAGGGAGUUGCUUACGAAACUUCUCUUGCAAGAGGAAGCAUUUUGGAAACAACAAUCUAAGGUGGGCUUAAAAGUGGGGAUAUGAAUACAAAAUUCUUUUAGGGAGAAGGUGAUAAUUGUAAAUUGGCUGGAGAAUGAGGAGAGUAGAAGGAUAGAAACACAAGAGGACAUUUGUAACCUAACAUUUGAUUAUUUUGCAGGUUUAUUUGCUGAUGGGAAUGGAAACCAUGGUGUUGUUAUUGAUAAGGUUAGAAGUAUAAUUACUACUGAUGACAAUUUGAAGUUGGUGAGGCCCUUCAUGAAGUAAGAACUCAAGGAGGCCACUUUUGCAGAUACUACCAGAUGGAUUUAAUCUGGGAUUUUAUCACAGGUUUUGGGGCAUGUGUGGGGAGGAUGUUUUUCAGGCGUGUUGUAUGUGGCUUGCAGAGGGUGCGUUCCCUUCAUCAGUUAAUGAUACUACCAUUGCUAUCAUAUUGAAAUUUGAUAAUCCUAGAGGUGAUAGUUUUCUCUUCUAAAAUACAUCAAAGAGAAGCUAUGGCAGUGAAGCGAAUCCUGGAUGACUAUGUUGUUGCUUUUGGGCGAGUCAUCAAUCUGCAAAUAUCUGAGGUAACUUUCAGUAAGAAUGUGGACCAUAAUAUGAAGAAAAGGGUGAAAUCUACUUUGGGAGUGAGUGAAAGUAAUGGAGGAGGGAAGUAUCUGGGUUUUUCAGCUUGUGUAGGGAGGAGUAAAAAGGCCAUAUUUAAUUUUUUUAAGGAUAAAGUGUGGAAAAAAAAUUAAUUCCUGGAGUAGAAGGACUCUAUCUAUGGUUGCGAGGGAGGUUAUGGUGAAAACUAUCUGGUAAUCUAUACCUACCUAUUGUAUGAGCAUUUUUCUUAUACUUCAUACAAUGGGGUGAUGAGAUCCAAAGGAUGAUGAAUUCUUAUUGGUGGGGUUCACGUGAAGGGGAGUCAAGGGGGAUUAUUUGGUUAGCUUGGGAUAAGUUAUGUGUUUUAAAGGAGGAUGGAGGAUUGGGCUUUCAAAAUGUUUAUGCCUUCAAUUUGGCCAUGUUAGGAAAACAAGGGUGGCGAUUUAUAUCAAAUCCUACUGCUGUCAUUUCGUGUCUUCAAAGCUAAAUAUUUCCCAUAAGGGGAUUUUAUGGGUGUCACACUUGGUAGUAACCCAUCAUUCACUUGGCGGAGCAUAGUGUCUUCUAAAAUGGUCCUUACAUAAAGGGUAAGAUGGAAGUUGGGAAAUGGAGCCAAUGUUAAUAUAUAGAAUGAACCUUGGUUGAGAGAGGAGUGAAAUGCUUUUGUCAAAAUACCAAUCAUUGAAGGAUUGGAGGAUCUAAAGGUGGGAAGCUUGAUAUAUCUCGAGAAGCAAUGUUAGAAUUCGGUUGGUAAUGCUAUGAGGGGAAUCUAGAGGGCAAUGUUAGAUUCUACAGUUGGAAUGAAUUGUUCGAUCACAUGCUUAAGGUGUAUGCAUUCCCAACAUCCAGAGUUAACACUACACGUGAAAAAUGUCCUCUUGUGUUCUAUCCUUCUACUCUGCUCAUUCUCCAGCCAAUUUAUAUCUAUCACCUUCUUCGUAAAAGAAUUUUGUAUUCAUAUCCCCACUUUUAAGCCAAUGCACCUUAGAUGGUUGUUUCCAAAAUGCUUCCUCUUGCAAGAGAAGUUUCGUAAGCAACUCCCUUUCUCUAUUAAACUCCUCCACCUUAUCCAUCUCUUUAGCCCCUCUUAAUGCCUCAAGCUUCUGUUUACACCUCUUAAUGUCAUCCCUAAACCUACUCUGAAUACUCCUCCCCAAGCUUCCAACUUCUUGUGACAACUUUUAAUAAAACUAUUUUUAAAGGUCAUACCUAAAA
This is a long non-coding RNA of Glycine soja, 1930 nucleotides long. RefSeq lists it as uncharacterized. Lineage: Eukaryota; Viridiplantae; Streptophyta; Magnoliopsida; Fabales; Fabaceae. The record is from RefSeq and is a predicted model, not a curated record. The transcript has 2 exons.